RNAcentral lists this transfer RNA (64 nucleotides) under Benthomangelia sp. MNHN IM 2013-9652. RNAcentral describes it as "tRNA-Thr". It matches the Rfam family "tRNA". From Rfam's summary of the family: Transfer RNA (tRNA) molecules are approximately 80 nucleotides in length. The record is from RNAcentral. Lineage: Eukaryota; Metazoa; Mollusca; Gastropoda; Neogastropoda; Conidae.
GUAGUGGUAGUUUAAUCUAAAACAUUGGUCUUGUAAGCCAAAGAUAAAUUUUAUUUUCACUGCU